GAUGAACGCUGGCGGCGUGCUUAACACAUGCAAGUCGAACGGAGAGGCCCAAGCUUGCUUGGGUACUCGAGUGGCGAACGGGUGAGUAACACGUGGGUGAUCUGCCCUGCACUUCGGGAUAAGCCUGGGAAACUGGGUCUAAUACCGGAUAGGACCACAUUUUGGAUGGUGUGGUGGAAAGUUUUUCGGUGUGGGAUGAGCUCGCGGCCUAUCAGCUUGUUGGUGGGGUAAUGGCCUACCAAGGCGUCGACGGGUAGCCGGCCUGAGAGGGUGUACGGCCACAUUGGGACUGAGAUACGGCCCAGACUCCUACGGGAGGCAGCAGUGGGGAAUAUUGCACAAUGGGCGCAAGCCUGAUGCAGCGACGCCGCGUGGGGGAUGACGGCCUUCGGGUUGUAAACUCCUUUCGCUAGGGACGAAGCGUUUUUGUGACGGUACCUGGAGAAGAAGCACCGGCUAACUACGUG
Molecule: ribosomal RNA, 467 nt
Filed under: uncultured bacterium
Lineage: Bacteria
Description: partial 16S ribosomal RNA
Rfam family: Bacterial small subunit ribosomal RNA
Source: RNAcentral